This 172-nucleotide unclassified non-coding RNA is filed under the name Priapulus caudatus. RNAcentral describes it as "uncharacterized LOC106812346, transcript variant X1". Lineage: Eukaryota; Metazoa; Priapulida; Priapulimorpha; Priapulimorphida; Priapulidae. The record is from RNAcentral.
CAGUUAUUGACUGGGUUGUAGAACCAGAACAGAGUUACCCAAGAGACUCCUGGCUAGUCAAUGGGAAAUAUGAUUUGUACCGUCCCCCAGGUAAAAAAUGCAGCACAGUGCGAGUAGAAGGAGAAGAUGUAGUUCCGGACUGCGCGGAGGGAUACAUCUGUCGGCUUGACCA